This 410-nucleotide ribosomal RNA is filed under the name uncultured microorganism. RNAcentral describes it as "bacterial SSU rRNA". It matches the Rfam family "Bacterial small subunit ribosomal RNA", at positions 509 to 917 of the family's 1533-position model. The record is from RNAcentral.
CAGCCGCCGCGGUAAUACGUAGGUGGCAAGCGUUGUCCGGAAUUAUUGGGCGUAAAGCGCGCGCAGGCGGUCCUUUAAGUCUGAUGUGAAAUCUUGCGGCUCAACCGCAAGCGGCCAUUGGAAACUGGGGGACUUGAGUGCAGGAGAGGGAAGUGGAAUUCCACGUGUAGCGGUGAAAUGCGUAGAGAUGUGGAGGAACACCAGUGGCGAAGGCGGCUUCCUGGCCUGUAACUGACGCUGAGGCGCGAAAGCGUGGGGAGCAAACAGGAUUAGAUCCCCUGGUAGUCCACGCCGUAAACGAUGAGUGCUAAGUGUUAGGGGGUUUCCGCCCCUUAGUGCUGCAGCUAACGCAUUAAGCACUCCGCCUGGGGAGUACGGCCGCAAGGCUGAAACUUAAAGGAAUUGGCGGG